This 839-nucleotide ribosomal RNA is filed under the name uncultured bacterium. RNAcentral describes it as "bacterial SSU rRNA". It matches the Rfam family "Bacterial small subunit ribosomal RNA", at positions 524 to 1381 of the family's 1533-position model. The record is from RNAcentral.
UACGAGGGAUGCAAGCGUUAUCCGGAAUUAUUGGGCGUAAAGCGUUUGUAGGCGGGCGAGUGUGUUUAAUGUUAAAUCUUAAAGCUCAACUUUGAAAUUGCGUUAAAAACUGCUUGUCUUGAGUAUGGUAGGGGUAAAGGGAAUUCCCAGUGUAGCGGUGAAAUGCGUAGAUAUUGGGAAGAACACUAAACAGCGAAGGCACUUUACUAGGCUAAUACUGACGCUGAGAAACGAAAGGUAAGGUAGCGAAACGGAUUAGAUACCCGUGUAGUCUUACCCGUAAACUAUGGACACUAAACGGUAAAUUUUUAAUUUACUGUUAAAGCUAACGCGUUAAGUGUCCCGCCUGGGGAGUAUGCUUGCAAAAGUGAAACUCAAAGGAAUUGACGGGGGCCCGCACAAGCGGUGGAGCAUGUGGUUUAAUUCGACGGUACACGAAGAACCUUACCAGGAUUUGACAUGCUAGAUAGUUGCUUGAAAGAGUAACGUGCCGUAAGGAAUCUAGACACAGGUGGUGCAUGGCUGUCGUCAGUUCGUGUUGUGAAAUGUUGGGUUAAGUCCCGCAACGAACGCAACCCUUGUCUUUAGUUAUUUUCUAAAGAGACUGCCUGUAAUAAACAGGAGGAAGGUAAGGAUGAGGUCAAGUCAUCAUGCCCCUUAUGUCCUGGGCUACACACGUGCUACAAUGGGAAAGACAAUGAGCUGCAAAUCUGUAAAUUUAAGCAAAUCUCUUAAACUUUCUCGUAGUUCGGAUUGUGGGCUGCAACUCGCCCACAUGAAGUUGGAAUCGCUAGUAAUCGCCAGUCAGCUAUAUGGCGGUGAAUCCGUUCCCCGGGCCU